Molecule: long non-coding RNA, 275 nt
Filed under: Gossypium barbadense (sea-island cotton)
Lineage: Eukaryota; Viridiplantae; Streptophyta; Magnoliopsida; Malvales; Malvaceae
Description: long non-coding RNA (GBAR_LNC023398)
Source: RNAcentral
GAUUUUAGGAGAAGAAUAAGGGGGAUGACGUGUGAGGUGGUUGUUUGUCGACUGUAGAACUCUUUUAGUGCCAAAAAUCGAUCAUAGGAAAGUAAAUGCCAAAAUUGGUUUGUGGUGACUUCUUUUUUUUCGGUUUUGUCAAAGUUUUCUUUUGUUUUCCUUGCACUUUUUGGUAGAGGCUUAUUAUUGCUUGUCUUUUGGGUAACUUUGCUUUUUUCUCCAAUUCUUGGUACUCUUUUGACCAUUUGGGUUCUUCUUGCAACCGACGACUUUUU